Long non-coding RNA from Eucalyptus grandis, 250 nucleotides. RefSeq lists it as uncharacterized. The transcript has 3 exons. The record is from RefSeq and is a predicted model, not a curated record. NCBI's taxonomy places the organism in Eukaryota, Viridiplantae, Streptophyta, Magnoliopsida, Myrtales, Myrtaceae.
CAACAAUUUGAGUGGGACUUUACAUGUGAAUGGUGGUUUCAGUAAUUUGAUGGAGCUGGACAUAAGUGAUAAUGCUAUUGAUGCAGUGGCUACUAUUGAAGGCAUCAAAAACUUGAGCCACUUAGAGAACCUCCACCUAGAUCAUGUCCACUUGAAGCAAGUGGGGACCGUUGUGCGAGCAUUAGGGGCACUGUCAUCUUUGAAGAUCCUUUCUCUCCAAUAUAACAUAGUAGAAGGAAUACUUACAACU